ACGGAAGGCAGCAGUGGGGGAUAUUGCACAAUGGGGGAAACCCUGAUGCAGCGACGCCGCGUGAGUGAUGAAGUAUUUCGGUAUGUAAAGCUCUAUCAGCAGGAAAGAUAAUGACGGUACCUGACUAAGAAGCACCGGCUAAAUACGUGCCAGCAGCCGCGGUAAUACGUAUGGUGCAAGCGUUAUCCGGAUUUACUGGGUGUAAGGGGAGCGUAGACGGCAUGGCAAGCCAGAUGUGAAAGGUGGGGGCUCAACUCCCAAGCUGCAUUUGGAACUGUCAAGCUAGAGUAUCGGAGAGGUAAGUGGAAUUCCUAGUGUAGCGGUGAAAUGCGUAGAUAUUAGGAGGAACACCAGUGGCGAAGGCGGCUUGCUGGACGAUAACUGACGUUGAGGCUCGAAAGCGUGGGGAGCAAACAGGAUUAGAUACCCUGGUA
Molecule: ribosomal RNA, 434 nt
Filed under: uncultured bacterium
Lineage: Bacteria
Description: partial 16S ribosomal RNA
Rfam family: Bacterial small subunit ribosomal RNA
Source: RNAcentral